Molecule: ribosomal RNA, 546 nt
Filed under: uncultured Glomeromycotina
Lineage: Eukaryota; Fungi; Glomeromycota
Description: SSU rRNA
Rfam family: Eukaryotic small subunit ribosomal RNA
Source: RNAcentral
UUGGAGGGCAAGUCUGGUGCCAGCAGCCGCGGUAAUUCCAGCUCCAAUAGCGUAUAUUAAAGUUGUUGCAGUUAAAAAGCCCGUAGUUGAAUUUCGGAAUCAGUACGUUGGUCGUGCCUUAGGUACGUACUGGUGUUACUGGUUUCUACCUUCUGACGAACCAUCAUGUCAUUCAUUUGGUGUGGCGGGGAAUCAGGACUGUUACUUUGAAAAAAUUAGAGUGUUUAAAGCAGGCUCGCGCUUGAAUACAUUAGCAUGGAAUAAUGAAAUAGGACGUUGAUCCUAUUUUGUUGGUUUCUAGGAUUGACGUAAUGAUUAAUAGGGAUAGUUGGGGGCAUUAGUAUUCAAUUGUCAGAGGUGAAAUUCUUGGAUUUAUUGAAGACUAACUACUGCGAAAGCAUUUGCCAAGGAUGUUUUCAUUAAUCAAGAACGAAAGUUAGGGGAUCGAAGACGAUCAGAUACCGUCGUAGUCUUAACCAUAAACUAUGCCGACUAGGGAUCGGAUGAUGUUAUUUUUAAUGACUCAUUCGGCGCCUUACGGGAAAC